GGUUGAAGCAUAGCUAACCGUACUAAAACUGACACAGGUAGGUGAGACGAGUAGUCUAAGGCGCUCGGGAGAAUACUGGUUAGGGAACUCUGCAAAAUGGCCCCGUAAGUUCGCGAUAAGGGGUGCCCUCGGCGGUGCAAGCUGCUGGGGGCCACAGUAAAUCGAUUCCUCCAACUGUUUAUCAAAAACACAGGUCUCUGCUAACUCGCAAGAGGAUGUAUAGAGACUGACGCCUGCCCGGUGUCGGUAGGUUAAGGGAGUAGGUUAGCCGUAAGGCGAAGCUUGCGACCGAAGCCCCGAUAAACGGCGGCCGUAACUAUGACGGUCCUAAGGUAGCGAAGUUCCUUGUCGGGUAAGUUCCGACGUGCAUGAAAGGCGUAAUGAGAGGAAGACUGUCUCAACCAGUAACCCGGUGAAAUUGUAGUCGUGGUGAAGAUGCCACGUUCCCGCAGCUAGACGGAAAGACCCCGUGAACCUUGACUGUAGGCUGAUAUUGGGCUCGUGUAUUGACUGUGUAGGAUAGGUGGGAGGCUAUGAACCUUGGGCGCAAGCUUGAGGGGAGCCAUUGGUGAAAUACCACCCUUUUAAUGCAUAAGUUCUAACGCUGAUUCCUGUGAAUCCAGGCAGCGGACAGUGUCAGUUGGGCAGUUUGACUGGGGCGGUCUCCUCCUAAAGAGUAACGGAGGAGCCCAAUAGGCGACCUCAGCCUGGUUGGCAAUCAGGCAUCGAGCGUAAAGGUAUAAGGUUGCUAAACUGCGAGACCCAUGAGUCGAGCAGAUGUGAAAGCAGGGCUUAGUGAUCCGGUAGUCCCGUAUGGAAGGGCUAUCGCUCAACAGAUAAAAGGUACUCCGGGGAUAACAGGCUUAUCGCUCCCGAGCGUCCAUAGCGGCGGAGCGGUUUGGCACCUCGAUGUCGGCUCAUCACAUCCUGGGGGUGGAGAAGCUCCCAAGGGUUUGGCUGUUCGCCAAUGAAAGUGGUACGUGAGCUGGGUUCAGACCGUCGUGAGACAGGUCGGUCCCUAUCUACUGUGGGCGCACGAGACUUGAGGAGGUUCUUCUUUAGUACGAGAGGAUUUAGAAGGACGACCCUCUGGUGUUCCUGUUGUCGCGCUAGCGGCACGGCAGGGUAGCUAAGGUCGGAACGGAUAAACGCUGAAGGCAUCUAAGCGUGAAGCCCGCUCCAAGAUUAGGUCUCGUUGGGUAAUACCCGAAAGUCCCCUGGAAGACGACCAGGUUGAUAGGCCGGAUGUGUAAGUACAGUAAUGUAUUCAGCUAACCGGUACUAACGGACGAAUGCUUGGCCAC
RNAcentral lists this ribosomal RNA (1304 nucleotides) under metagenome. RNAcentral's name for it is "bacterial LSU rRNA". It matches the Rfam family "Bacterial large subunit ribosomal RNA", at positions 1625 to 2925 of the family's 2925-position model. The record is from RNAcentral.